This 387-nucleotide ribosomal RNA is filed under the name uncultured bacterium. Its description in RNAcentral is "bacterial SSU rRNA". It matches the Rfam family "Bacterial small subunit ribosomal RNA", at positions 64 to 446 of the family's 1533-position model. The record is from RNAcentral.
GAGCGGAGAUAUAUGGAGCUUGCUUUAUAUAACUUAGCAGCGAACGGGUGAGUAACACGUAGAUAAUCUAUCCUAUACUGGGGGAUAGCCCGAUGAAAGUUGGAUUAAUACCGCAUAUAGCUAUAUAGUUGCAUGAUUAUGUAGUGAAAGAUUUAUUGGUAUAGGAGGAGUCUGCGGCACACUAGCUAGUAGGUGAGGUAAAGGCUUACCUAGGCGACGAUGUGUAGCCGGUCUGAGAGGAUGAACGGCCACAAUGGAACUGAGACACGGUCCAUACUCCUACGGGAGGCAGCAGUGGGGAAUAUUGCACAAUGGGGGAAACCCUGAUGCAGCAACGCCGCGUGAGUGAAGAAGGUUUUCGGAUUGUAAAGCUCUGUUAGCAGGGAA